Molecule: ribosomal RNA, 503 nt
Filed under: Vishniacozyma victoriae
Lineage: Eukaryota; Fungi; Basidiomycota; Tremellomycetes; Tremellales; Bulleribasidiaceae
Description: eukaryotic LSU rRNA
Rfam family: 5.8S ribosomal RNA (bases 152-305)
Source: RNAcentral
CUGCGGAAGGAUCAUUAAUAGUGCCCUCUGAUGCAAAUCAUUGGGUUAGAUCUGCUCUCUUCGCAAGAAGAGGGUUUCCAUACACACCGUGAACUGUGGCUUCGGCCAUCACAAACUGUUAGUAAUGAAUGUAAUAUCAUAACAAAAACAAAACUUUUAACAACGGAUCUCUUGGCUCUCGCAUCGAUGAAGAACGCAGCGAAAUGCGAUAAGUAAUGUGAAUUGCAGAAUUCAGUGAAUCAUCGAAUCUUUGAACGCACCUUGCGCCCUUUGGUAUUCCGAAGGGCAUGCCUGUUUGAGUGUCAUGAAACCUCACCCCACUUGGGUUUUUGCCUGAGCGGUGGUGUAUUGGGUGUUGCCUUGCUAAAGGCUCGCCUUAAAGACAUAAGCACCUUGGAUGUAAUACGUUUCAUCCUUCUGGGUGGCUGAUAACCCCACAUAUUCAUGAUCUGGCCUCAAAUCAGGUAGGGCUACCCGCUGAACUUAAGCAUAUCAAAAGCCGG